CCUACGGGUGGCUGCAGUGGGGAAUAUUGCACAAUGGGCGCAAGCCUGAUGCAGCCAUGCCGCGUGUGUGAAGAAGGCCUUCGGGUUGUAAAGCACUUUCAGCGGGGAGGAAGGCGGUGAGGUUAAUAACCUCAUCGAUUGACGUUACCCGCAGAAGAAGCACCGGCUAACUCCGUGCCAGCAGCCGCGGUAAUACGGAGGGUGCAAGCGUUAAUCGGAAUUACUGGGCGUAAAGCGCACGCAGGCGGUCUGUCAAGUCGGAUGUGAAAUCCCCGGGCUCAACCUGGGAACUGCAUUCGAAACUGGCAGGCUAGAGUCUUGUAGAGGGGGGUAGAAUUCUAGGUGUAGCGGUGAAAUGCGUAGAGAUCUGGAGGAAUACCGGUGGCGAAGGCGGCCCCCUGGACAAAGACUGACGCUCAGGUGCGAAAGCGUGGGGAGCAAACAGGAUUAGAUACCCUAGUAGUC
RNAcentral lists this ribosomal RNA (465 nucleotides) under uncultured Klebsiella sp. RNAcentral describes it as "bacterial SSU rRNA". It matches the Rfam family "Bacterial small subunit ribosomal RNA", at positions 338 to 795 of the family's 1533-position model. The record is from RNAcentral. Lineage: Bacteria; Pseudomonadati; Pseudomonadota; Gammaproteobacteria; Enterobacterales; Enterobacteriaceae.